This is a non-coding RNA of Lyophyllum atratum, 101 nucleotides long. The record is from the annotation of a GenBank genome assembly. Lineage: Eukaryota; Fungi; Basidiomycota; Agaricomycetes; Agaricales; Lyophyllaceae.
GGGCACAUGGUGUAGUUGGUUAUCACGCUCGCUUUGCAUGGUUGGAACUAGGUUGCCAUGAUUCCUGCGAGUGGUCCUCGGUUCAAUUCCGGGUGUGUCCA